AGUAGACAAGGCAUCUCGCUAAAUCCUAGAAUAACAGACCUCCAAGCUCGGCGACAUGUGACCAGACGUGUCUAGGCCUGUGUCUGCACGAGGCAUGAAUUCCUGCUCGUCCCGCCAGAGUACAGCUGCGCCACCUCCUUGGACAUUGGGACCACGUUCUUCUGAUAGCGGAUGUCAGGUCGAGCGCUUAAGACGUGAGUGGACUGAUGCUUACACAAGAACCCUCGGUACGGCACAGGUGCAAAGGCCACCUGAGGAGAGUGGCGGCGUGGGCUGGUGUACCGCAGUUCAGCCUACAGAAUAGUAAGCAAAUAUUUGGCUCGUUAGCAGAGAGGAGAUUGAGCGCAGAUGACUGGCCAUGCUGGGAACCCCACCUCUCCCCCUCCUCCUCUCGCCAGCCCGCCAGCCAGCACACUCCAAGACAAACACACCUACACGCCUAUUCGUGCAGGUUUUCUGGUGAUUGCGUCUCUUCUCGGUGGUGGAAAGGACAAAAAUGAAGUGUCUAUUGUUUUCUUUUGAGUUUUCAGACGGUGUUAAUGCAUUGUUGUUGCUGCUGAUGACAUUUGUUUUUGUUUCUGUUGUGGUUGUUGUUGUUGUUGUUGUUGUUGUUGUUGUUGUUGUUUCUGUUGGUGACAGUGGUAUGGUGCUGGUUCACGAAUAAUACGUAAAUAUUUGAGUCUGUGUCUGUGUCUUUGUCUUUGUCUGUGUGUGUGCACGUGCGCGCGCGCGCGUGGGUGCGGCAAACAAUCUUUUCAUUUUCCUUUCCCUUCCUCAACUCCUUUCAGUCCUCCUCCUCCUCCUCAUCCGCCUCCAUAUAUCUCUUAAACAAUGAAAUAUGAUUAACAUCCAGUCUAGAUCUGAUGGGAAAAUGUAUGCAUCAUUGUGUGUGUGUGUGUGUGUGUGUGUGUGUGUGUGUGUGUGUGUGUGUGUAAGGUGGCAUUCUUGAAAUAUUUUUCUCUGGAUUAUCAUGGUAGUACUGCAUGUAGCCUGAAUCUGUAUUAGCAUGAAAUAUUU
This is a long non-coding RNA of Scylla paramamosain (green mud crab), 1017 nucleotides long. RefSeq lists it as uncharacterized. Lineage: Eukaryota; Metazoa; Arthropoda; Malacostraca; Decapoda; Portunidae. The transcript has 3 exons. The record is from RefSeq and is a predicted model, not a curated record.